RNAcentral lists this transfer RNA (74 nucleotides) under Deltaproteobacteria bacterium. RNAcentral's name for it is "tRNA-Ala". It matches the Rfam family "tRNA". From Rfam's summary of the family: Transfer RNA (tRNA) molecules are approximately 80 nucleotides in length. Their secondary structure includes four short double-helical elements and three loops (D, anti-codon, and T loops). Lineage: Bacteria; Pseudomonadati; Myxococcota; Myxococcia. The record is from RNAcentral.
GGGGCCGUAGCUCAGUUUGGGAGAGCGCUUGAAUGGCAUUCAAGAGGUCGGGAGUUCGAUCCUCCUCGGCUCCA